Molecule: ribosomal RNA, 429 nt
Filed under: Chloroflexota bacterium
Lineage: Bacteria; Bacillati; Chloroflexota
Description: Chloroflexi bacterium partial 16S ribosomal RNA
Rfam family: Bacterial small subunit ribosomal RNA
Source: RNAcentral
UAGGGAAUCUUCGGCAAUGGACGAAAGUCUGACCGAGCAACGCCGCGUGAGUGAAGAAGGUUUUCGGAUCGUAAAACUCUGUUGUUAGAGAAGAACAAGGACGUUAGUAACUGAACGUCCCCUGACGGUAUCUAACCAGAAAGCCACGGCUAACUACGUGCCAGCAGCCGCGGUAAUACGUAGGUGGCAAGCGUUGUCCGGAUUUCUUGGGCGUAAAGCGAGCGCAGGCGGUUUCUUAAGUCUGAUGUGAAAGCCCCCGGCUCAACCGGGGAGGGUCAUUGGAAACUGGGAGACUUGAGUGCAGAAGAGGAGAGUGGAAUUCCAUGUGUAGCGGUGAAAUGCGUAGAUAUAUGGAGGAACACCAGUGGCGAAGGCGGCUCUCUGGUCUGUAACUGACGCUGAGGCUCGAAAGCGUGGGGAGCAAACAGG